GCCUCCUCUCUUUCAGAUCCAGAUUUAAAGAAAGAAAUUAUGAAAUAGAUAUGUGAUUCGAUCACAUAUUCAAUUUCAGCAUAUGUUCAAUUUUAGCAUAUGAAGUAGAUCCUAAUGUUUUAUAUUUUAUGCAUGCAUGAUACAAAUUAAAAAAUAUUUUAAUCUUCUAUUCUACUAUGAUAUUUUAAAAAAAAAAUUGAAACAUACAUGCAUGCCCCGACAUUGAAAUUCCAACACAGAU
This 241-nucleotide long non-coding RNA is filed under the name Elaeis guineensis (African oil palm). RNAcentral describes it as "long non-coding RNA (EGUI_LNC043992)". Lineage: Eukaryota; Viridiplantae; Streptophyta; Magnoliopsida; Arecales; Arecaceae. The record is from RNAcentral.